AUGAACGUUUCUACCGUUCCUAACCAAGCAAUAAGCAACUAACUUAUACGCGAUGGUUUUAAACUUGUCCAUCAACAACAAUUAUACUACGAUGGUUUUAAAUUUGUCCAUCAACAACGUUCUUCGUGUUCUUCGCGUGUUCUUCGUGUUCUUCGUUCGUUCUUCAUUUUAAUCGAUAUUUUGGAUUACGAUUUCACUUUUUCUUGGAAUUUGAUGUUAUAGAACACCAUUCCUUACUUAUUU
This 243-nucleotide long non-coding RNA is filed under the name Panax ginseng (ginseng). RNAcentral's name for it is "long non-coding RNA (PGIN_LNC011522)". The record is from RNAcentral. Lineage: Eukaryota; Viridiplantae; Streptophyta; Magnoliopsida; Apiales; Araliaceae.